RNAcentral lists this ribosomal RNA (440 nucleotides) under uncultured bacterium. Its description in RNAcentral is "partial 16S ribosomal RNA". It matches the Rfam family "Bacterial small subunit ribosomal RNA", at positions 339 to 795 of the family's 1533-position model. The record is from RNAcentral.
CUACGGGCGGCAGCAGUAGGGAAUAUUGCACAAUGGACGAAAGCCUGAUGCAGCAACGCCGCGUGCGCGAUGAAGGCCUUCGGGUUGUAAAGCGCUUUUCUGAGGGAAGAGGAAGGACUGUACCUCAGGAAUAAGUCUCGGCUAACUACGUGCCAGCAGCCGCGGUAACACGUAGGAGGCAAGCGUUAUCCGGAUUUACUGGGCGUAAAGCGCGUGUAGGCGGUUUGGCAAGUCGGAUGUGAAAGCUCCUGGCUCAACUGGGAGAGGUCGUUCGAAACUGCCAGACUAGAGGACGGUAGAGGAAGAUGGAAUUCCCGGUGUAGUAGUGAAAUGCGUAGAUAUCGGGAGGAACACCAGUGGCGAAGGCGGUCUUCUGGGCCGUUCCUGACGCUGAGACGCGAAAGCAUGGGUAGCGAACGGGAUUAGAUACCCGAGUAGUC